Molecule: ribosomal RNA, 253 nt
Filed under: uncultured organism
Description: partial 16S ribosomal RNA
Rfam family: Bacterial small subunit ribosomal RNA
Source: RNAcentral
UACGUAGGGUGCGAGCGUUGUCCGGAAUUAUUGGGCGUAAAGAGCUCGUAGGCGGUCUGUCGCGUCGGAUGUGAAAUCCCGGGGCUUAACCCCGGGCCUGCAUUCGAUACGGGCAGACUAGAGUUCGGUAGGGGAGACUGGAAUUCCUGGUGUAGCGGUGAAAUGCGCAGAUAUCAGGAGGAACACCGGUGGCGAAGGCGGGUCUCUGGGCCGAUACUGACGCUGAGGAGCGAAAGCGUGGGGAGCAAACAGG